UGGAAGAGUAAUGACAGAAGUGGUGUUUAGAAGUAUGGUGAUAAAUAUGACAUAUUUAAUUCUUUUAUCCCAAAAUGUGAGCCAGUCUGAAAAAAUAUGAAUACAUAUGAUUAUGUAAUAAUGAAUACAUUAUGAUUGAGUAGGGGACAGAGCAUCAUGGCUGAAAUAGUUGUAGUCACAGAACUGAAAUAGAAGUAAACAAUAACAACAGCAACUCUAUGUCCUCUCUCUCUACCUCAAUCUCAAAUGAUGGGUAUUAUCCCAAGAUUUCAAAAUCAUUUUCCUUAUAUUAACUAAACUUAGGAACUUUGUUAUGGACUAAAAUAAAAGCAGGAUGGAUACAAUUCAUUGUUUGAACCAUUUGCUGUCCAUAUGUAAAAUAUUUUACAUUGCUAACAGGAAGUUUUUGUAUAGAAAAGGAUAUAACUAUUCUACUGCGAUGCAAUUUAAACAAAAUACAAUAAAAACACUUGAACUGAAUAUGAAGUUCUUGGAAUCAAGAAUCUGGCUGACAUUGUAGGAUGGAGUGAGAGGCCCAGUCUGGCCAGUUUGAGUAUAAAACAGGCAGAAUAUUUCGAGCCUGAUAUGGCCUGUUUGAACGCUAAAGGGUUAAAAAACAUAAAGACACAAUGGUCACAGAGUGUACAUCUUUGAUCAUAGGCCUACACAAGCAAGGCUGACCUGCAGUGAAACAACAAUGAAAUUACCGACAGAAACAAUAUCAGUUAAUAAAGACAUGUUCAAGUUUACUUGAAUAUUUUUA
Long non-coding RNA from Octopus bimaculoides (California two-spot octopus), 763 nucleotides. The record is from RefSeq and is a predicted model, not a curated record. NCBI's taxonomy places the organism in Eukaryota, Metazoa, Mollusca, Cephalopoda, Octopoda, Octopodidae.